AAGUCAUAGCCUCCAAAUAAAAAGUAGUGAUAUUAAUAAUAGUAUUUAAGUGCUUACUGUGUUGGGUAUUAUUACAAGUGCUUUAUAUGUAUUAACUUAUUCCACCUUUCUAACAAUCCUGUGAGGCAAGCACUAUCAUUAUCCCCAUUUUAUACAUAAGGCACAGCAGAUUAAGUAACUUGCCCAAGGUUAUAUAGCCGCUAGCUAGGAUUUAAACUCAGGGCAGUCUGUUCUAGAUUCCUCAUUCUUAACCACUUAUGCUAUACUGCCUCCCACAGUGAAAGUUGAAAAUAAGAUUACUCUGAAGCCAUAUAAUCACAAACAAACAAAAAACCAGGAACCUUGAAGAUGCAGAACAUACGAAAAUAUUACCUCUGUAUGACUCAUUUUCACUGUUGAAUAACAAACUUAAAGUGCAUUUACAUCUGAGAAGCAAAGGACAUCUCCCUGAAAAGAAGAUUCUGUUGUGAAAGCCUGGGUCUCAAAAUGAAGACAUAUGGAACAGAUCUGAACCCAAAACUGAAGUCUGGAGUCCAGACUAGUCUAACCAAGACCUAAACAACAGCUGAUCUGAAGAUCCAUGAGCAUGAAAUGUAACAGUAACAAGGUUUAAAGUUCAAAAGGUACCAAGAAUAUGUAGUGAAAAAGUCUCACUCAUUCCACUUUUGACUUGCCAUCAGAUCCCCUCUCCAAAGGUUCUCGCUCCGGUGGACAGGCCGGAAAAUUCAGUGAUGCAAUCAUAAGUUCACUGCAUCCUCGAACUCCUGAGCUCAAGUGAUCCUCUCGCCUCAGCCUCUUGAGUAGGUGGGACUACAGACGCUCACCACCACGCCCGCUAAUUAUUUUAAAAUGUUUUUGUAGGGACGAGGGUCUCCCUAUGUUUCGCAGGCUGGUCUUGAACUCCCGGGCUCAAGCGAUAUCCCCUGCCUUGGCCUCCCAAACCGUUAGGAACCCAAGGCGUUUGCCACCUCCCGGUCUGCUUUAGUAUUUUUCAGACUUCACGAUGCACAGUGUGUUCUUCACGGCUGGUGCACACAUGCUGCUUUUCUUCAGAAACACGGAAAAUGCCCCAUAAUACAAUCCCCAAGCAAUCUG
Molecule: non-coding RNA, 1095 nt
Organism: Macaca mulatta (Rhesus monkey)
Lineage: Eukaryota; Metazoa; Chordata; Mammalia; Primates; Cercopithecidae
Source: RefSeq, a predicted model, not a curated record